RNAcentral lists this small nuclear RNA (112 nucleotides) under Gouania willdenowi (blunt-snouted clingfish). Its description in RNAcentral is "U5 spliceosomal RNA (ENSGWIG00000017600.1)". It matches the Rfam family "U5 spliceosomal RNA". From Rfam's summary of the family: U5 RNA is a component of both types of known spliceosome. The precise function of this molecule is unknown, though it is known that the 5' loop is required for splice site selection and p220 binding, and that both the 3' stem-loop and the Sm site are important for Sm protein binding and cap methylation. Lineage: Eukaryota; Metazoa; Chordata; Actinopteri; Blenniiformes; Gobiesocidae. The record is from Rfam by way of RNAcentral.
AAUCAUGUUUCUCUUCAUAUCGAAUAAAUUUUUCGCCUUUUACUAAAGAUUUCCGUGGAGAGGAACAAUAUGAUGAAUUAACAAUUUUUUGAUGCCCUGCUAACGCGGGGCU